GAGUUUGAUCAUGGCUCAGAGUGAACGCUGGCGGCAGGCCUAACACAUGCAAGUCGAACGGCAGCACAGAGGAGCUUGCUCCUUGGGUGGCGAGUGGCGGACGGGUGAGGAAUGCAUCGGAAUCUGCCUAUUUGUGGGGGAUAACGUAGGGAAACUUACGCUAAUACCGCAUACGUCCUACGGGAGAAAGUGGGGGACCUUCGGGCCUCACGCAGAUAGAUGAGCCGAUGCCGGAUUAGCUAGUUGGCGGGGUAAAGGCCCACCAAGGCGACGAUCCGUAGCUGGUCUGAGAGGAUGAUCAGCCACACUGGAACUGAGACACGGUCCAGACUCCUACGGGAGGCAGCAGUGGGGAAUAUUGGACAAUGGGCGCAAGCCUGAUCCAGCCAUGCCGCGUGUGUGAAGAAGGCCUUC
This 414-nucleotide ribosomal RNA is filed under the name uncultured Gammaproteobacteria bacterium. Its description in RNAcentral is "bacterial SSU rRNA". It matches the Rfam family "Bacterial small subunit ribosomal RNA", at positions 9 to 419 of the family's 1533-position model. The record is from RNAcentral. Lineage: Bacteria; Pseudomonadati; Pseudomonadota; Gammaproteobacteria.